AUUGUACCAGUGCUCAGGACAGUGCGGGUAGGAAGGCUUCUUGCUUGCAUGACAUUCUGUUAUGCAUUCCUAUUUGCUAUUCACUGAGCACAGAAGAAUGUUUCUGGAUCUUUUAAGAGCUUGUGGACCUAAGAUUUUCCUACUUGUACACGAGUGUCAGAGGAUCCAUAUAUU
RNAcentral lists this small nucleolar RNA (174 nucleotides) under Schizosaccharomyces cryophilus OY26. Lineage: Eukaryota; Fungi; Ascomycota; Schizosaccharomycetes; Schizosaccharomycetales; Schizosaccharomycetaceae. The record is from RNAcentral.